UGGGGAAUAUUGGACAAUGGGGGGAACCCUGAUCCAGCCAUGCCGCGUGUGUGAAGAAGGCCUUAUGGUUGUAAAGCACUUUAAGCGAGGAGGAGGGUACUGGUAUUAAUACUACCAGGUACUGGACGUUACUCGCAGAAUAAGCACCGGCUAACUCUGUGCCAGCAGCCGCGGUAAUACAGAGGGUGCGAGCGUUAAUCGGAUUUACUGGGCGUAAAGCGUGCGUAGGCGGCUAAUUGAGUCGGAUGUGAAAUCCCCGAGCAUAACUUGGGAAUUGCAUUCGAUACUGGUUAGCUAGAGUGUGGGAGAGGAUGGUAGAAUUCCAGGUGUAGCGGUGAAAUGCGUAGAGAUCUGGAGGAAUACCGAUGGCGAAGGCAGCCAUCUGGCCUAACACUGACGCUGAGGUACGAAAGCAUGGGGAGCAAACAGG
Molecule: ribosomal RNA, 430 nt
Filed under: Pseudomonadota bacterium
Lineage: Bacteria; Pseudomonadati; Pseudomonadota
Description: Proteobacteria bacterium partial 16S ribosomal RNA
Rfam family: Bacterial small subunit ribosomal RNA
Source: RNAcentral